This 1045-nucleotide long non-coding RNA is filed under the name Ursus maritimus (polar bear). Its description in RNAcentral is "lncRNA (ENSUMAG00000003965.1)". Lineage: Eukaryota; Metazoa; Chordata; Mammalia; Carnivora; Ursidae. The record is from RNAcentral.
CUCAGCCUUUGCUCCUGCGGCCCCGCUGGACGAUGCCAUUCUGUCCACCCUGGAGCGCGGUGCCCUGCUUUGAAACCCGGGGCCGGAGCGUCCUAGCUGGCACUCUUUACUCUUUGGAACAUACCCUGGCGUUGUGCUUAAAACCUGUUUCUGUGCAUCAAAAUUACAUGAACAUGAAAACGUUUUAAUAUCAUGGAUUUGGGGGAGCUUAGUGACCGGAAGGGGGCGGGCGCGGUUUCUGAUAGCUGAUUGUGUUCUCCUGAUUUGGGGUGUUCCCUUUGAGAGGUGUCAUUUCUGUGGGUCUUUUAGGGUCCAUUACAAUUUUUAUUAAUAACGAGGAGAGAAAAAAGCAGAUGUUCACCAGGUUGCAGUCGAACCUUAGCAAUAUUUAUUUGACUAUUGUGUGCUACAAACCAGGCACACGGGAAGAGAAGAGAGAGCUGCUCGCCCACCCGCCCGCAAGGGGCUGAUGGUGUCGUGGGGAGGGACAGACAAUAAACCAGGAACACGAUAAAAGGGUGAGCGACUGUGGUCACCGGCUGGGAGAGAGCAGCUGGCAAAGUCCACACUCUCUCCCAUCUCUGUACUCUCCUCUGCCUCUCUCUGCCUAGUCCCCUGCCCCCCGCCCCCAGGGCAGCAACCAGUCUACUCUCUGCUGGGUGUCUCGCCUUGCCAUCCCACCCAGGACCCAUCGCGACAAGGUCAAUAGUACCAGGACGUGCAUUUGUCGGGCAUCUUCACUCGAGCAGGGGGUUUGUCUAUUGCAAUAGUUCUCAAAGUGUGGACCAAGGACACCUGGAGUUUCCUGAGACCCUUCCUCUGAAUUGGGUACUCUGGCAUUUAAGCUAAGCCUGGAGCAGUCCAAAUGGGAUUCACGUCUACAGAAGGGAAUCACGGCUAGGAACGUCAGGUCUGAGGUGCAGAGGUGCGAUUCUGAAAGCCAGUCUCAAGCAGGAAUUAUAUGAACCCUGUACUUUAUCCAGUUGGGCAGCCAGAGCUGCAGUCUAAACACGUUAACGGAAAGGUACUGUGAAUACUGCUAAAU